Molecule: non-coding RNA, 295 nt
Organism: Mus musculus (house mouse)
Lineage: Eukaryota; Metazoa; Chordata; Mammalia; Rodentia; Muridae
Source: Rfam
AGAUAUGCGAUUGUUACAUCUGUGACAUCUGCCAUCCAGUUUCCACCAGGGUUCAUUUGGAUGAUCCUGCUGGCUAGCUUGAUUGUUCACGUCUCCCAUGGAUCUAUGUGUAUCCAUCCUUCCUGAAGUUGAGUCCUAGGUAAAAGAUCUUGACAGUUAGAAGAGGGUUAUUCUUUGGUCCAGAGUAAAUGAGUAGCUGUGCUCUUCUGUCAGAGCCUCCAAAUCAGCAGAACCUGAUUACAAAUGUCAAGCUCUACCUCCUAGCAGUGGACUACAUCCAGCUAUCUCCCUCCUA